CACACCCCUGUGUGAAUCAUCUGAUGAGGGAAAAGUCAGACCCCAAUUAGAUAAAUGGGAAGUUGGGGCACAGCAGCAUGUGGUCUCGCUGACUUGCCAAAACAAGGUCCAAAAGGGGCUUUGGACCCAAGAUUGGAUCAUAAGAAGAUAGUCCAAGACUGUAAAACCCAAAGAGGGAAGGAUGUACUGAGCCUUUCAGAGGCUUCCAGGACUGCAAACCGGCUGUCACCAUAGCUGUGGUUGUGACCACUCUUAAAUAAAUUACUUUUGUGUGUGCCCACCUCCCCUCCCCUCCUCUGUCCGGUGGCCUCACUGCAGGGUGGCAGAGCUCCUGUGGCUGAGGAUUGUGUGAGUUGGCUUGUGCUACAAGAGAUUGCGGGAGCCACUGGGUACGGUGAUGGGAGACUUGGGAGAGACACAAAGAUCUGGCCCCCCCUUUAAGAGGUUUUCACAUUAAAAAAGAAAAGAAAAGUGCUGUAUCGUGUUCAUCUCUAUGACUUUAUAUGAUAUUUAUCAGUAAAUCCAAUCCUGGAGUUUACUUUUUUGUAAAUCAAAAAUCAUCACUUGGGAUGUGACCGUCAAUAAAAUCAAAUUGCCAGCCCAAGCUUAUUACAGAACAGGAAGGAAAUUUAACGGUAGGAAUACUUUCAUGGAACCCAGGACUGGCCAAUGAGACUAAAAUAGGGAACUUUAGCUUGGACCAGUGACAAAGACAAGACUUCUCUUUCUACUGGACUUGAAUCUAGACACGCUUGGGGGCUGUCAUGCAGAGAAAAUCUGUCAAUGAGAGUGCCCAACAGAAGAAGGUGAUAUCAAAAGACAAAGAAAAACAAAGCACUAUUGACAUCAUUUGAGCUUCUGGAAUUUUCCAUUGGGUUAAUUAAUGACCCUCCCUCUCCACACAUAUAUGCAUUUGUUUGUUUUCUGCUUUGUUUUGUGUUUUGCUUAAAUCAGUUUAAAUUGAGUCUCUGUCACUUGCAAGAAAAGUCCCACUGGACAAACAACUUAGAAUUUUUUUUUUCUUCAAAAAUCACCAUGGACCCCUUCAACAGUGGGGCUGCUAUUUGAACACACCUGUUUGUGCCUUGACCUCACUCUUUUUUAUGUACAGACAAGGCAAAUCCUUUCCUGUCACUAAACACACCAACUCUCCACGCCACUGGCUUGCCCUUAAUGAUGCCGCCUGCCUCUCUCUAUACCAAUUUGUACCCUGUCCCUCCCACAGCACAGGACCUGCUCCACCCACCGUCCUGCUUUUCUAACACUGUCUACUCAAGUGAUCUUCAGCUACAAGACAGUAAACUUGACACUGAUCACAGUUUGGCAGCACCUUGCAAGGCAUUCCAGCUCACUGGCGCUCUGAAGUCACGCUUAUCUCCUCUUCCACUUCCCCUUGCUUUUUCCUAUUUGCAGUCGACAUAUAAAUUAAGGGUUUUGAACUACUGUAGCAAUAUGCUCAUACGCAGAUGCAAUCACCAUUCUAAAUGAUGGCUUUGCUCAUCCCCUGCUCGUCUUUAGAGAAUAAAGCCAGGCACGGUGGGAAUCCUCACAGUGCCAUCCAACCCAAAGUUCCUACUAUUCCGCAGGGGUUUGCUGGUGGUGUUUGUAAAAAUUCACAGAGAACUUUGCCUAAAACCUCCCAGUGGGGAAGGUAGAUGCAUGCAGAUGUCCUGAACCCCUCUCAAUGUCCUCUUGCACGUCACCUCCUCCUCCCCCGCUGCUCCUCUCCACUCGCUGACAUUCCAAAACCUUUCAAACAGUCAGGAACAUGGACAAAAGGAGGUGCCUGGUUACAUGCCCUGGGUAGGAUUCAUGCCUAUGCUGCUCCCCAGGGAGCAGAAUGCUACCCAGGUUGAUGUAUCCUGGUCUCCAGUCAGGAAGGCUUAGUUCAAAAAGCAUCCUUAAUUUUUAUUAUAAUAUGUUUUCACCGAAAAUCCUGUUUCCCUGGUGUUUAGACAAGAUGGGUAUUUUUCAGGAAAUGGGGAGAGACAGGCACACAUGUGUACAGCACAGUGGGUUACAACGCAGACUCUGGAGUCAGGAUGUCUGAGCUUAAAUCCAGGGCUGACCACUUGGACGCGCUAUUUGACACACUUUUCUUAUUUGUUUAAUAGGGAUGAUAUUAGAAGCUGCAUCAUAAGGCUGCUGGGAAGAUCAGCAAUGGUAAUGUAUGCAAAGCACUCAGCCCAGUGCUUGGCACACAGCAAGUGCUAGACAGACAUUUGCUACUGGGGAGCUGACUUCCCAAAGUGACCGAGGAGCCUGGUGGAUGCGAGAGCUCAUGAUGUCCAAAUGGUCUCUCGGAAGUCUGGGGAAGCUGGUGGACCACCCUGUCCCCCGAGUGUGGGAGUUAGGCAGUGCUGUAUUCAGUCCUGCCAGAGGGAUUCUCCAAGGGCCCUGCCUCUCUUCCACAGGCUGUUGCCAGGACCAAAGACAUGCCCAUCACAUGGGUUGGCUUCCAUUGGAGGUAUCUUUGCCUCAGCUGACGACAUGAACCCUUCUCUUCUAGCAACCUGUUUGUGUUGAUCAAAAUGUGUGAUUGCAGGUCCCAAGAAGAAGCUCUAUCUGUGGCAGCAGUUCUCAGUCAGAGGCAAUUUUACUCCCCAGGGGACAAAUGACGGGGUCUGGAGACAUUUUUGAUUGUAUCAAUUGGGGAGUGUGGGCUGCUCCUGGCAUCUAGUGGGCAGAGGCCAGGGAUGCUGUUGAACAUCCUACAAUGCAGAGGGCAGCCCCCCACAACUAAGAAUCAUCCAGCCCAAAUGCCGAUGGUGCCCAGGUUACGUAACUCUGGUCUAUACCUGUGUCUCUUGAAGUUUGGUUCUUGGGCUACCUGCAUCAGAAUAAGUUUGGGCUACGGGUUAGAAAUGCACAUUUUGGAGCUGAACCCCAGACUUACUAAGCGAGACUCUCUGGGGCUCCCUGCUGAUUCUGAAGAAGACCAUGGUUUAAUGGGAUUCCUUCCACGUGUCAUGCUUUGGAAAGUGGCCUUCGUGGGGCCUCCACAGACUCAUGUCCUCCUCUCUUGCUGUUUCGCUGACUCAUUCAGGAGACUGUGGAGGAUUAACACUGGAAGUUGCUUUAGGUACGGACACAUCUCCCCACCAGGUUCCAGGAUGUGCACAGGAGGCUGGGGCUGGUGAGUCAGAGGAAGGGCCUCAAAAGCCUGAAGGGACCAGUGAGAUCACUCCAUCCAAACUUCUUUUUGUAGAGGAGGAAACUGACAUCAUUAAGAGAAAAAAAAAAAAAGAAAGAAAGAAAGAAACCAUGCUAGGUAAAAUUCCAGAGUUGGUCACUGUUAUAUUCUUUCUUAUUUUCUUCCAUCUUAGUCAAAAUCAUAUAAAAAGGAAGUGGGGGAGGAAAAGCCGCAUGGAAGGAAGUGGAAAGGUGAGAGGCCUGGUAGCUGCAAAGAUGAAACUAAUGUUGAUUCUUCGGUGACGGAAGAGGAGGUGGCGAGGGGAGAGAUUUUAGGGUCCCAGCUCCCAGCCAGUCAACGGUGAGCCACUGACCCCUUCCUCUGUCGUCUCCAAGCAGCAGUGGCUCCUGCAUAGUCCGCAGGCCUGAGGUGAUGCCAGCUGACAAGGCCGUCAGCGACGAACAACCAGGGAAAUAUCAUUGGCCAUAUUUUUCUAACCUUCCUUUU
Equus caballus (horse) is the source of this 3640-nucleotide long non-coding RNA. The record is from Ensembl. NCBI's taxonomy places the organism in Eukaryota, Metazoa, Chordata, Mammalia, Perissodactyla, Equidae.